RNAcentral lists this ribosomal RNA (231 nucleotides) under uncultured bacterium. RNAcentral describes it as "partial 16S ribosomal RNA". It matches the Rfam family "Bacterial small subunit ribosomal RNA", at positions 99 to 334 of the family's 1533-position model. The record is from RNAcentral.
CGGACGGGUGAGUAAUGUAUGGGGAUCUGCCUGAUGGCGGGGGGUAACUACUGGAACGGUAGCUAAUACCGCAUAAUGUCUACGGACCAAAGCGGGGGACCUCCGGGCCUCGCGCCAUCAGAUGAACCCAUAUGGGAUUAGCUAGUAGGUAAGGUAACGGCUUACCUAGGCGACGAUCCCUAGCUGGUCUGAGAGGAUGAUCAGCCACACUGGGACUGAGACACGGCCCAG